This 478-nucleotide ribosomal RNA is filed under the name uncultured Alphaproteobacteria bacterium. Its description in RNAcentral is "bacterial SSU rRNA". It matches the Rfam family "Bacterial small subunit ribosomal RNA", at positions 9 to 522 of the family's 1533-position model. Lineage: Bacteria; Pseudomonadati; Pseudomonadota; Alphaproteobacteria. The record is from RNAcentral.
GAGUUUGAUCAUGGCUCAGAACGAACGCUGGCGGCAGGCUUAACACAUGCAAGUCGAACGAGAAUUCACCUUCGGGUGAUAGUAAAGUGGCAGACGGGUGAGUAACACGUGGGAAUCUACCUAGUUCUACGGAAUAGCCCGGAGAAAUCCGGAUUAAUACCGUAUACGCCCUACGGGGGAAAGAUUUAUCGGAAUUAGAUGAGCCCGCGGUAGAUUAGUUUGUUGGUGAGGUAACGGCUUACCAAGACUACGAUCUAUAGCUGGUCUGAGAGGACGACCAGCCACACUGGGACUGAGACACGGCCCAGACUCCUACGGGAGGCAGCAGUGGGGAAUAUUGGACAAUGGGCGAAAGCCUGAUCCAGCCAUGCCGCGUGAGUGACGAAGGCCUUCGGGUUGUAAAGCUCUUUAGCUAGGGAAGAUAAUGACGGUACCUAGAAAAUAAGCUCCGGCUAACUCCGUGCCAGCAGCCGCGGUA